RNAcentral lists this ribosomal RNA (498 nucleotides) under Clostridioides difficile. Its description in RNAcentral is "partial 23S ribosomal RNA". It matches the Rfam family "Bacterial large subunit ribosomal RNA", at positions 691 to 1189 of the family's 2925-position model. The record is from RNAcentral. Lineage: Bacteria; Bacillati; Bacillota; Clostridia; Peptostreptococcales; Peptostreptococcaceae.
AGCGUUCAGUUACUUGACGUAGACCCGAAACCGGGCGACCUACCCAUGAGCAGGAUGAAGCGAAAGUAAAAUUUCGUGGAGGUCCGAACCCACGAGCGUUGAAAAGCUCGGGGAUGACUUGUGGGUAGCGGUGAAAUUCCAAUCGAGCCCGGAGAUAGCUGGUUCUCCCCGAAAUAGCUUUAGGGCUAGCCUCAAGGUGAGAGAUACGGAGGUAGAGCACUGAAUGUCCUAGGGGGUAUUGCACCUACCGAAGACUAUCAAACUCCGAAUGCCGUCAUCUUAUACUUGGGAGUCAGACUGUGGGUGAUAAGAUUCAUAGUCGAAAGGGCAACAGCCCAGAUCGUCAGCUAAGGUCCCUAAAUGUAAGUUAAGUGGUAAAGGAUGUGGGAUUGCACAGACAACCAGGAUGUUGGCUUAGAAGCAGCCACUCAUUCAAAGAGUGCGUAAUAGCUCACUGGUCGAGUGAUCCUGCGCCGAAGAUUUCCGGGGCUAAAACUU